This 206-nucleotide long non-coding RNA is filed under the name Lathyrus oleraceus (garden pea). Its description in RNAcentral is "Pisum sativum (pea) long non-coding RNA (PSAT_LNC032505)". Lineage: Eukaryota; Viridiplantae; Streptophyta; Magnoliopsida; Fabales; Fabaceae. The record is from RNAcentral.
UUUAUUUAGUCAUUUACAAUCAUAUAUCCAUACAUACCUACAAACUUAACUCGUUUAACAAGACUAUAUGUUUUGAUAUAUUAUGUUUUGCAACUUUUUAUCCAUUUUUUAUUUUUAUUUGGUCCCUUGCAAACAUAUUUUUAUUUGUUUUUAUAUAUUAUGUUUUGCAACCUUUUGUCCAAAUUUAUUUAUUUAUUCAAUCCCAU